AUGUCCUGUUCAUCUGACCGCAGGCAGAUGAAGGCCGUCGAAGAUCACAAGCGCAGCUUGCUAUUGUACAGUUGUGGUGUGAUUUUUACAGAAACAAGUGAUCCAGGCAGCAAGCGUCGCCGAUCGCACGUUCCGUGGCGGCGCGUGAUCCAAAAACUGCCAGCGAUCCAGAAACGUGGCGGCGACAGUCGUUCCGCGGCGGCGGUGCUGUGGAGUGCGCAGAUCGCACGACGGCUGCGCAGAUCUGAUCGGCAGCGGGGUAUGGGGAUUGGCGGCGGGGUAUGGGGCAUGGGGAUCCUGAUGGGCGGCAGGGCGCAGUUUCUUUGGCUACCUGCGUGGGUGGGGUUCGAAACAAGUGAUCCAGGCAGCAAGAUUGAGCGAUCCAGAAACGUGGCGGCGGCACUGUCAAGUCGUUCCGCGGCGGCGGUGCUGUGGAGUGCGCAGAUCGCACGACGGCUGCGCAGAUCUGAUCGGCAGCGGGGUAUGGGGAUUGGCGGCGGGGUAUGGGGCAUGGGGAUCCUGAUGGGCGGCAGGGCGCAGUUUCUUUGGCUACCUGCAUGGGUGGGGUUCAGUGUGUGGGCGUGGGGGUGGGGCCACAGCUUCAAGAAUACGCGGAGGAGGUGGCCCGGGUCGGCGUCGGCGCCGUCCGGCACGGGCCACGGGCCCGCUUCCAAGCGCGUCUGCGCAUCGGCCACCCACGCCGUGUCCUUCAAGUGCCACUUCCACCGCACCAACUCCCAGGGUCACGGCCAUGGCCAGGGCCAGGGAAGCCGCUCUUCUUUGCCCCAUUCACCGGCCGCGGCCAACGCGAUGCCGCGGCACCCAGCCUCGCCGUCCUCGUCCUCCAGCACCGUUGCGACCCGGUGA
RNAcentral lists this ribosomal RNA (867 nucleotides) under Triticum aestivum (bread wheat). RNAcentral's name for it is "partial small subunit ribosomal RNA". The record is from RNAcentral. Lineage: Eukaryota; Viridiplantae; Streptophyta; Magnoliopsida; Poales; Poaceae.